This is a long non-coding RNA of Bubalus bubalis (water buffalo), 2212 nucleotides long. RefSeq lists it as uncharacterized. The record is from RefSeq and is a predicted model, not a curated record. NCBI's taxonomy places the organism in Eukaryota, Metazoa, Chordata, Mammalia, Artiodactyla, Bovidae. The transcript is spliced from 5 exons.
GAGAAGCCACUUUUACGCUCAUUCAGGAUGUUGCCUGAAUUCAGUUUCUCGGAGGGGUGGUAGGACUGAGGCCCAUUUCCUUGCUGGCUGCUGGCUGACAGCUCAGUUUUCUCCGAGAGGCCUCUCUGGGGUCCUUGCAGCUGAUUUUUGGACAUUUUGAAGCAGAUUAUCCCUGGGAAUCCUUGUUUGGCUGACCCCAUGCGGACGUGAAUUCCUUUUUGUCAGCCUCUCUUAAGUCUCCCUGUGGUUACUGAGGUGAAACGUGACAACCGGAGAGCCCUUUUGUGGCUGAUGUACACAACUGAGCCAAAGCAGAGGUGCACGUGCUCCGGAAUUACCCCCUGGACUCCAUCAGGGAGCGCUCCGCCUGAUGGCUCAGUGCUUCAGAACUGAGAGUUGAGUGAGUGCCGGUGAAUCUGUGCUGAGAUCGCCUUGGAUCUAUUCUGAUCCAAUUGCUGGGAACAUUUAACAAAAAUGCGUGAUUCCUGAGGAAGGAGAGUCCCCUGGGUACAGCUGGAGUGUGGACAGAUGGAUGCUCCCCAAUUACUGUCUUAACGUUGGUUUCAGGAGAGGUGCCUGUCACCCUGCAGCCCCAGAGUGGGUUAAAUUGUGUCUCCGCAGAAGAUGCUUUGGGGGCUGGACUCAAGUUGAGGAGGUGAGGACUCCGGGGAGCAGGUGUUGGCUGGGUCCUCACCGCCUGUCCUGGCCUCCCGCUCUGGACCCUGCAGGCCCCGUAUCAUGGUCCGCCAGGUGGGCUGCCCUCGUCUGCAAAGUGUGCAAUACCAGCCACCAGGAGUGGGCAGAAACACGGAACUUCUGUCAAAACUCACCUUCAAUCUGAAGAAAUCACAUUGUUUGUUGGUUCGUCACGUUUGAUGAAGAUGAAGAUGACCAUACAAACAUCAUGUACGUUUCCGGCUUCCCAGAUGGCGCUAGUGGUAAAGAAUCCACCUGCAAUGCAGGAGACAAAAGAGAUGUAGAUUCAAUCCCUGGCUCAGGAAGAUCCCCUGGAGGAGGAAAUGGCAACCCCUCCAGUAUUCUUGCCUGGAGAAUCCCGUGGACAGAGGAGCCCGAAGGGCCACAGUCCAUGGGGUCACAGAGAGUCAGACACGACUGAGUGACCAAGCACAUGUACGUUUCAUUAGUUGGGGGUCCUGGUAGACAGAGGCAGACUCAGCGUCGGGGUGACCUGACUGGGGAGUCUUGAGCAGAGGCCAUGCUGGGUGAUUUGUCCCCUCAGGAGCUGUGACCAUGGGCCCACCCUCUGGGUCCUGUAGGGACUGGACACUGGGAUCCCUGGCCGACUCUGGGGAGAGGGAGGAGCUGGGGGCCAGUAGUUAUUCCUCGGGCCCCUUCCCUUCCUUCUCUGAGGUUACAUCGGUGGCUUAUCCCCAACUUGAGGGCCCUGAUUCUCUCCAGGCUGCCUCUUGUGCUGGACUCUGCCCUCUGGGCUCAGGGUCUCCUUCCCCUCUUCCCUUUGGGCCUAGAGGUGGCGACCACGUCUCAGCAGCCAGCCCCGAGUCACGGUCAUGUCCCAGGGGCUCUUCUGCACUCUGCCCCCUCAUCCUUGUGGAUGUCACCUCUACUAAGUGAGAGUGAAAGUGAAGUCGCUCAGUCGUGUCUGACCCUUUGCGACCCCAUGGACUAUAGCCUACCAGGCUUCUCAGUCCAUGGGGUUUUCCAGGCAAGAGUACUGGAGUGGGUUGCCAUUUCCUUCUCCAGGGGAUCUUCCCGACCCAGGGAUUGAACCUGGGUCUCCCGCAUUGUAGGCAGACGCUUUCCCCUCUGAGCCACCAGGGAAGCCCUCCUGCCUCAUUGUGCUAAUUGUGUGAGCUGUAUGCUUCUUGUCAGGAUCCUGAGACAGAAGGACCCUCAAGAUCAUGUGGUCAGGGUGCUGAGGACACCCCAGGGCUGUACAGAGAGGAGCAGGUCAGGUGGAGAAUGCUCCAGCCCCUGGGACCCCUGGGGAGGGGCUGACCUUCCUCUCUCUCUCGUCUAGCAUCUUUCAGGCUCCCUGAGGGCCAAAUCCAGUGGGAGUCAGAAUGUGAGGGGCUGUUGAUAUUGGCCAUGCUGGACAGCAUUCUGGGUACAGAGCCUGGAGAGGGGUGGACACAGGUCUGGAGCACGCAGUAAGUGCACCCAGCAUAUUAUGCAUUCAUUUGGUCACUGGUGUAUAUAAUAAAGAAAUAGCCAUGCAUGUAUUAGGAUGCUC